Molecule: long non-coding RNA, 1602 nt
Organism: Portunus trituberculatus (swimming crab)
Lineage: Eukaryota; Metazoa; Arthropoda; Malacostraca; Decapoda; Portunidae
Exons: 2
Source: RefSeq, a predicted model, not a curated record
CUUGAUAUCCUUAGUUGUCAGUCAGUGGCAGGAUGCACUCUUGACAUCAUGCCACACACUCCACACAAUCAGUCAUAUGAGAGCAUGUCCUGCUGGUAUGCCAGAUGAUUCAAAUAGUAAUACUUUUUUCUUAUUUAGAGACAUUAAACUCAUGAAAAGUAACAAUUUACUGGAAAUAUAUGCUUUCACAACAACAAAAUUCUUCACCUGCAUCUAUUGAUUACAAAAUAAUUAUGUUCAUGAAAUUAGUUUUUGAAAGUAAAUUAUCUGAAAACAGCAUAUUGUUGGAUUUGCACUCACAAAAGUAUAGAUAGGAUUUACUCUUGAGAUAAUAUUUCAAAUACCAGUAACUCCAAACUCUUCCUAUGAUCUUGAUCAGGCCAAUGAAUUAGAUCAGUUAUGAGAAAGAGCAAAGAUCUUUUAUGGCACCACAAAGGAAAACCAAUUGUCUUUCAUGCAGCAUGGUGUGCUGAAGAUUAAAUUUUCUUUCUUAGGCAUCUAGAAGCUGAGCAGUAAGGAAAUGCUUGUGAAUGAAUGCACACAAUAGUCAUGUCUUAGCUUUCCACCUUUGAGAAGAAUUUUACUCAAAAAUAUAGAUAUUUGAAGACAAAAUAAUCACAUAUAGUGAGAAUAUGGACACAAGAGCUAAAUUAGGCUUACAUGAUAGAGUUUGGUGAUGUCUCCAUGAGACAAGAAACAAAACUGUGACUCUUGACAGAUUAGUUGAUACCUUUUCUGGAUUGUACUUGUUGCAAAGUUGUACCCUUCCUAUGCUAAAUCCUAGCCACAUUGGGCAAUAAUCCACUGUGCAGGUACCCUAGACAAUGGACUUUAAGGCUCUUUCGUUGGAUCAAUACCUAAAACCUCUUCACAAAGUUUUUAUGUGCGAUAUUAAUGUAUUAAAAAGGGUUUUAUUUCAGAUUGAGGAGCCACAACAUCAAAAGAAGGGUUCUAUUGUGAGUGCUGAGACUUCAGUGUAACCAUCAGUGACAUCCAGUGUCCCUACAAACAUUUUAUAAUUGGAAAGUGUAUAGAGCCAGAACAAUGCUUACAGUUUAAUAAGAGAAUGGUCGAAACAGUGACCCUUCUUGAACUUCGCCUUGGGAAAGAGGAAGAAAUCAUAUGAAGCUAGAUCUGGUGAGUAAGGAUAAAGAACAGCAACCAUGUUGAUAUAGGUGAAAGUAAAAUGUUUUAAAACAAAUUGUGAGUGGCUCUAUUAUCAUAAAGGAACAAAUUUUCUCCUUCAGAUGUCUCAUAAUUUUACAGUAAAACUCUGCACUGACACUGAGGUGAUGAAUUUAUUGUGCAAAAUCACUUAAAUGGUGAAGAAAACUAAUCAUGUAACGGAUUGCAUUUCUAACUUGCCUUGUCUUGUUUGGUUUUAGAUUGUCCAGGUUCUUCUACAGUGAAGACUUUUCUUUGAUAUAUAGUUCACAUACAAAGAUCCAUCUAAUGUCACUAAUGAUUUAGACAUAAAGAUUGUAUUCUUCCACACAUACUUAUAGAUAUAAGGCAUUCAACAUCAUAAGUAGAACUCGUGUCAAAAUGAAGAAAGUGAAAAAAAAUGCGCUCAAAGUUUUGACAAACUUCUGACAACCACAA